Non-coding RNA from Picea glauca (white spruce), 121 nucleotides. The record is from Rfam. Lineage: Eukaryota; Viridiplantae; Streptophyta; Pinopsida; Pinales; Pinaceae.
ACAUGCCUACAACAUAGCGUUAAUGCUCUGGAUCCCAUUAGAACUCUGUAAUUAAGCAAGUUCAAUCUAGAGUAGUAUUGGGAUGGGUGAUCGCCUGAGAAUUCCUAGUGUUUUACAUGCC